AAUAAAGUUGUAUACUGAGAAUGUCAAAAGAUCAAGCCAACAAGGUACUGUAUAUCAAAUUUUACAAAUAUAUAGGUUGUAUGUCAAUUAGAAAAUUGCCAAUAAAAAUAGUUGUAUAUUACACUAAAAUGAUUAUUAAUAUUGUUAUUAUGGGAAUAUGAUACAUUGCAGUAAAGCCCUGCAUAAAAGAACCAGUGAAUUUUGACAUCAGGCUGAAGUGGUUCUUUAAUCUUUAUAUAUAAUCUUCAGUUCACACUAUACUUUUUUUAUAUUCUACACAUUAAAUAGGGACUGUUGUUGCAUAAAACUAUUGCUAUGAUACUAAAUAUAUGGUUCCUGUUGCAUAUAUCUAAACUGUAAAAAAAUUUUAAAACUUGUAUUUUGGGUGCUUAAUUGCCCAAACUUCAGGCUAGUGGUUCACUGGUUCUUAACCUACUGUUUCUUUUAUGCGAGGCAUAGACCUUAUGCAUAAUGACGUCUCAAGGCUUGGUGCCUGCGAGGAAUGCUGGUCUUAGUAGUCAUCACAGUCCAGGAAAAUUUCAAUAGUGGCCAUCCCGAAUUGUUUAAUUCUCCCGGGGGAUGACCAGCAUUCCUUGCGGGCAUCAAGCCUUGUGACAUCAUUAUGCAUAAGGUCAAGUGAGCAGUAUGAUGUCCGAAUUGGAAGACACAAUUGUAUGCAAAUGAAAAAUUAUCUGAGUGACUUGUUUUUGAUAAUGCUCACAAUUUCUUUCUUAUUAUAUAGUUUUGCAGUUCUGACUGAGUACAAUCUUAGUCAUCUUCAUUUAUACAAUGAAUGGUGUCAUACGAAGCUGACGUAUUAAACAAAAAUGUCAACAAAAUAGAUUUUGUCUCCCCAUUGGCUGAUUGUUCAGUUGUUCUGCAGUAGGGGUGGCCUUGAAGGUGCCAUUAAAAUGAUAAUUGGGACAAAAACUGACUUACUGGUAGUAUUUGUAUGUAUGAAAUUGUUAUUAAAUUCUACAUAUCCAAUGAUUCAUUCAAGUAUUAUUAUCAUUUGUUAUAUAUGA
Molecule: non-coding RNA, 1025 nt
Organism: Paramuricea clavata
Lineage: Eukaryota; Metazoa; Cnidaria; Anthozoa; Malacalcyonacea; Plexauridae
Source: the annotation of a GenBank genome assembly